GGGGAGUUAACUGUGAAGGCACUUAAUCUCCUCAUUGAGGAACGCCGGACUUUGUUUCCAACGGAGGAAUUUCUGGCAUCAGAGAGCAGAUAGGGCAGAGGUGCUUUCUUCUGCUGCUCCUCAAGGCUCACAGCUUGCUAUGGAAGCAUCCUUGGAGGACAUCUCCUUCCCUGGCCUUUCCAUCAACGUUGGUUAAUCCAAUCUCCACCUUUUCUUACGAGAUUGACAUGUGAGAAAAGCUAGAAUGUGAAGUCCUGUCAUCAGAUGAUGUGACUACGUGGAAUGAGGACUAUAGCUGCUCUCUUAAAAACCUGCAGCCCCCUCUCUCAGCCCAGACAGUUGAGAUAAGUAAACUGAGGCCCAAAGAAGUUAAGUAAAUUUCCUAAAGUCACAAGACAAAGGAGGGGCGGAGCUGUGAUUUGAAGUUGGUGCUGUUUGACUCCAAAGGUAAGGGCCCCUGCCACCUGACUGUUUUUGCAAAAUGCCUCUGGUGCUUCAGGAGCCAUAAAUAUUCUGCAGAACUGGCUAUAGAGUUUUCAAUGUAAAAUGAAAACAUGGGUCCUCUUGUUCAGAAAUUAUUAAGAAUUCAAGAUGGCAGCAGCAGAGCAUUAAACCAAGCAUGGGACCCUGUGCACAGCUGUGUGCCCAUGAGGCCAGCCCUGAUGCUAUGUGGUAGGCUCUAUCGAACGUUCUAAUGAAAUGAGUCUGCUCAGAGGCACCUUGGUGGGGUAGUAAGAGCCCCAGAUUUGAGCAUGGGCAUACUGAGUUUUAGUAAUAGCUCUUUGAAUAACUUCCUGUUGACUUUGAGCACAUUAUUUAACUUCUUGGAGGUUCAGUUUAGUCAUCCAUAAAAUGGAGAGAGGGAGAAGUGGGAAGGUGGUGGACUACAUCCGUAUUUCUCCAACUCCAGUUAUUUAUAUACCACAUUUUUAGUAUAUAACCAUUUAGGCUAUAACCAUGGCCUCUGGCCCCACACUCCCUGAGUUCUAAUCUUGGCUCUGCUAUAUUCUAGCUAUGUGACCUCAGACAAGUGCCUCAGUUUCCUCAUCUGUAAAAUAGAGAUUGCUGUGAGGAUUACAUAAAUAAAUAAGUAAAGCCCUCAGAAUAAUGGCUGAUAUGUGAUAAGCACGAUACAAGUGCUCAUUAUUACUAUUCCUAUGACUCAUACAGUACCUGUACUAGUAGUACUAACGUUUUUUCUUUAAUACGACUCACAUAUUAAAUUUAAAAAAGUCAUCUAUAGUCUCUUUCCAAGUAAUAGUAUUUGUGAAAUCACCAGAUUCAUGUGUAUGUGUGGUUUUUCUAACCCAGGUGAAAAUGUAUAAUAACAUAUUUUAAAUGUACAAUAUUUUUAAAAGUUCAUUCAUAUGCUUUCUAAUACCAGUUGAAAAUAUUACCAAUGGAAUGGGCACCACACUGUGGGUAGCAUUGUACUAGACACUGAAGGCCCUUUUCAGCUUUAAUAGUCUAUGAAUAAAUAAGUCUAUGUGUA
Pongo pygmaeus (Bornean orangutan) is the source of this 1492-nucleotide long non-coding RNA. RefSeq lists it as uncharacterized. The record is from RefSeq and is a predicted model, not a curated record. NCBI's taxonomy places the organism in Eukaryota, Metazoa, Chordata, Mammalia, Primates, Hominidae. The transcript is spliced from 3 exons.